UACGUAGGGUGCGAGCGUUAAUCGGAAUUACUGGGCGUAAAGCGUGCGCAGGCGGUUCGUUGUGUCGGUGGUGAAAUCCCCGGGCUUAACCUGGGAAUGGCCAUGGAAACUGGCGAACUGGAGUGCGGCAGAGGGGGGUGGAAUUCCGCGUGUAGCAGUGAAAUGCGUAGAGAUGCGGAGGAACACCGAUGGCGAAGGCAGCCCCCUGGGCUAGCACUGACGCUCAGGCACGAAAGCGUGGGGAGCGAAUGGG
This 253-nucleotide ribosomal RNA is filed under the name uncultured bacterium. RNAcentral describes it as "partial 16S ribosomal RNA". It matches the Rfam family "Bacterial small subunit ribosomal RNA", at positions 524 to 776 of the family's 1533-position model. The record is from RNAcentral.